Molecule: long non-coding RNA, 258 nt
Filed under: Nicotiana benthamiana
Lineage: Eukaryota; Viridiplantae; Streptophyta; Magnoliopsida; Solanales; Solanaceae
Description: long non-coding RNA (NBEN_LNC039070)
Source: RNAcentral
GAAGAAUCAUGUAAACGUUUUGGACACCUUGACAAGCAUGGUGGAGAAACCAUAGUAUAUGAUAGCUUAGGACUUCUCUUUUAUUUCCCUUUCAUUUUCUCUUAUUAGGCAGGGAUGACCACGAGCCUUUUGUGUGUUUAUUUUCUAUGAUUGUUUUUACCUCAAUUUGAAUAUUUAAUAGGCAACUAAAUGAAGUACGCGACCGUGACUUUCACGGGACUUGGGGAAUGCCUAACACCUUCCCCCGAGUCAAAUGAA